UAGACCGUGAUACAGAGGGUGAGGAACAUGAUUGGGUGGUGAAACAUACUACAAGAUCAAAUAAAAUUGUUUGGGGUCAACACCAAUUCAAGAUAAGGGCUGAUGUGGAUGCCGGAAAGUAUUCAUGUGAGUGCAAGCAUUGGGAGCAUACAGGUCUAUUUUGUGUUCAUCUUGUACGCGCUUUCAUGCAUCUACAAAUUGAAAGGAUCCCAAGUGAGUAUAUUUUGCAACGAUACACAUACUCCGCGCAUCAAGAUGUGGCUUUUUCAAGAGACGAUAGGAAUUUGAAAGGAAAAGAUGGAGAAACUAGAUCAUAUAGACAGAAGAUGUUGCUUAAAAAAGCAAUGAAAGUAGUACACCAUGCGAGUCUGUCUAAAGCUGGGAAUGAUAAAGCCCUAGAGAUGAUGGACGAAUUAUUAGGGUUAUUGAUGCGUGUGGAGCCUGAUAUAGGUACUGGUGAGAGUUGUGGCACAAGUGUUUGCGAUGACAUCCAGGUCGAAGCGUAUGAAACAGAAGAAAUGGCUAUAGACAACUUACGCAAAUUAGAUGAUGGGAACGAGGAAAUUUUAAUGGGCUCUAAUACAAAUGAAUGCAAUACUAAGGAUGAUCAAUGUAAUAUGCAGAUAUUAACAUUGGAACAUAACACUGACAUUCGGCUGGUUGAGAGUAGUUCUAUGGAUGUGGAAGCUAGAAAGAAACUGGAAUUUCAUAUGGAAGGUGUAAACUUAACAAGACCAGAUAAGGCCAAGCCUAAGGGAAGAACAAUCAAAAGUAGUGAGCAACAAGUUUUAAAAUUGGGUGCGAAAGGAGCUAAGAAGAUGAGCAGGAAAUGCCAUAAAUGUGGCAUAGCUGAUGGUCACAACAGCCGUACGUGUUUAACUGUCGAGGAUAAUAGGGUUCGAUUGGCUAACCUAUCUGGACGUAAGCGAGGACGGCCUCCAGGUUCAAGGAACAAACUCAUAGCUGCAGCCCCGCAAUGGAAUGAGACAUCAACGUCGAAAAAACGAACGGUGGAUGUCGGAGAUGAUGAUUCAUCUGGUAGAGAGUAGAAGACC
Molecule: RNA transcript, 1055 nt
Organism: Zea mays
Lineage: Eukaryota; Viridiplantae; Streptophyta; Magnoliopsida; Poales; Poaceae
Exons: 5
Source: RefSeq, marked validated